This 169-nucleotide ribosomal RNA is filed under the name uncultured bacterium. RNAcentral's name for it is "partial 16S ribosomal RNA". It matches the Rfam family "Bacterial small subunit ribosomal RNA", at positions 338 to 524 of the family's 1533-position model. The record is from RNAcentral.
CCUACGGGAGGCAGCAGUGGGGAAUAUUGGACAAUGGGCGAAAGCCUGAUCCGGCAAUGCCGCGUGAGUGAUGAAGGCCUUAGGGUUGUAAAGCUCUUUUACCCGGGAUGAUAAUGACAGUACCGGGAGAAUAAGGCCUGGCUAACUCCGUGCCAGCAGCCGCGGUAAU